This 521-nucleotide ribosomal RNA is filed under the name uncultured Azonexus sp. RNAcentral's name for it is "bacterial SSU rRNA". It matches the Rfam family "Bacterial small subunit ribosomal RNA", at positions 521 to 1039 of the family's 1533-position model. The record is from RNAcentral. Lineage: Bacteria; Pseudomonadati; Pseudomonadota; Betaproteobacteria; Rhodocyclales; Azonexaceae.
UAAUACGUAGGGUGCGAGCGUUAAUCGGAAUUACUGGGCGUAAAGCGUGCGCAGGCGGUUUGAUAAGACAGGCGUGAAAUCCCCGGGCUUAACCUGGGAACUGCGCUUGUGACUGUCUCACUAGAGUACGGCAGAGGGGGGUGGAAUUCCACGUGUAGCAGUGAAAUGCGUAGAGAUGUGGAGGAACACCGAUGGCGAAGGCAGCCCCCUCGGGCCGAUACUGACGCUCAUGCACGAAAGCGUGGGGAGCAAACAGGAUUAGAUACCCUGGUAGUCCACGCCCUAAACGAUGUCAACUAGGUGUUGGGUGGGUAAACCAUUUAGUACCGUAGCUAACGCGUGAAGUUGACCGCCUGGGGAGUACGGCCGCAAGGUUAAAACUCAAAGGAAUUGACGGGGACCCGCACAAGCGGUGGAUGAUGUGGAUUAAUUCGAUGCAACGCGAAAACCUUACCUACCCUUGACAUGUCAGGAACUUGCCAGAGAUGGCUUGGUGCCCGAAAGGGAGCCUGAACACAGGU